This 273-nucleotide ribosomal RNA is filed under the name uncultured bacterium. RNAcentral describes it as "partial 16S ribosomal RNA". It matches the Rfam family "Bacterial small subunit ribosomal RNA", at positions 523 to 796 of the family's 1533-position model. The record is from RNAcentral.
AUACGGAGGGGCUAGCGUUGUUCGGAAUUACUGGGCGUAAAGCGCACGUAGGCGGAUUAAAAAGUUAGAGGUGAAAUCCCAGGGCUUAACCCUGGAACUGCCUUUAAAACUAGUAGUCUAGAGUUCGAGAGAGGUGAGUGGAAUUCCAAGUGUAGAGGUGAAAUUCGUAGAUAUUUGGAGGAACACCAGUGGCGAAGGCGGCUCACUGGCUCGAUACUGACGCUGGGGUGCGAAAGCGUGGGGAGCAAACAGGAUUAGAAACCCCAGUAGUCC